GAUGAACGCUGGCGGCGUGCCUAAUACAUGCAAGUCGAGCGAACAGAUGAGGAGCUUGCUCCUCUGACGUUAGCGGCGGACGGGUGAGUAACACGUGGAUAACCUACCUAUAAGACUGGGAUAACUUCGGGAAACCGGAGCUAAUACCGGAUAAUAUAUUGAACCGCAUGGUUCAAUAGUGAAAGACGGUUUUGCUGUCACUUAUAGAUGGAUCCGCGCCGCAUUAGCUAGUUGGUAAGGUAACGGCUUACCAAGGCAACGAUGCGUAGCCGACCUGAGAGGGUGAUCGGCCACACUGGAACUGAGACACGGUCAAGACUCCUACGGGAGGCAGCAGUAGGGAAUCUUCCGAAAUGGGCGAAAGCCUGACGGAGCAACACCGCGUGAGUGAUGAAGGUCUUCGGAUCGUAAAACUCUGUUAUUAGGGAAGAACAAAUGUGUAAGUAACUAUGCACGUCUUGACGGUACCUAAUCAGAAAGCCACGGCUAACUACGUG
RNAcentral lists this ribosomal RNA (497 nucleotides) under uncultured bacterium. RNAcentral describes it as "partial 16S ribosomal RNA". It matches the Rfam family "Bacterial small subunit ribosomal RNA", at positions 28 to 507 of the family's 1533-position model. The record is from RNAcentral.